AUCAGCAAAGUGGCUAUUAAACCAAAAGGAAAAGCAGAAACGCAUACGUGGGGAAGUCGAGAGAGGUCUCACAAAGGAAGAAAACCAACUGAAGAAAGCCCCCCGGGCAACCAGGGAGGCGGCCAGCAGCUCUCACGCUCUGGAGGCCGGUCCCCCCCGCCCCCACCCACCGUCAGCUUUGUCAGAGCCCCUUCCAGCUUCCUCAGAGGCCCUGUGAGAAGACGAAGGGGUGACGGCAGGAGGGCAGCCCGGCAGCCAGCUGCCUGGGAGAGUGUCUGGGCGUCCAGAGCCAGGGCGCUGAGCAGGAAGUGCCGUGGCCCCUCCAGGCCACCCUCUAGGAAGGGGACACAGCCCGCUGUUCCCCAGAACUGCUCUGAGCACCGCUGACUUUCCAUUUUGUGCCACAGCUUGCUCCAGAGAGUCAUCUUUUAACACAGACACAGAGAUGACACAGAAAAGAUGGCCACAUGAAGACAGAGUUGGGAGGGAUGCAGCGACAAGCCAAGAACUGCAAGGAGUGCCAGCAACCACCAGAAUCUGGAAGCAGCAGGGAAGGAUUCUCCCCUAGAGACUUCGGAGAGAGUGUGGCCCUGUCAACACCUUGAUUUUGGAUUUCCGGCCUCCAGAACUGGGAAAGAGUAAGAGUGUAUCAAGUGCCAUCAAGGUGGCAGCUGGGCAUUAAGGCCAGAGGGCCCCGAAGAGAGGCUGGACUUGUGCUGUCUUGAUGCAUCCAGUAUGAGGACUUGAGCUGCAGGCAGCCCCCCCACCGUGCACGUGGAGGCCAGGGGCACGGCUGAUCUCCACCCAGCAGAUGUGGAUGUUCAAGCCCCAGGAGGCCAAGCUACCCACCUGAGAUGACAGCGUGUGACAGUGCCUGAGUCAGAACCAAGGCAUCAGACUUCAGAAGCUGAGCCCUUAUCUAGGCCAAGUUCAGCCAGAGAAAGAAUAAAUAAGGGGCUCUGACCACUGUGGGGUGGGGCUGCCCAUCCAUGGUGCCCACUGAGGGCCACACGGGUGCCAGAUAGCCUACUGAGGGUUAGAGCCACCAUGGCCCAGGACCUGACAGCCAUCGCUGGGUGGGACUAAAGCCCGCAGCAGUGUGAUGGUCACACAGGACCAACCCCAGGUACCAGAUGGCAGUUAAGAAAAGUGCGCCACAACCUGGUCCUGCCCUCUUUGCCUGAGGGAGCUCCUGCUACCAGCUCCUGGUGGAGGAACUCACUUUCUGGAGACCAGAUGCACAAUGCAAGACCCAUUCAAUCCAUGCACUACCUGCCCACCCAUCCAAUCAACAUUGUGCUGAAUACCUACUGCGGCCAGGCAUUUCCACAUUCGUUAACUCACUGAAUAAUCACAAGACACUGUUUGGUAGCAGGUAUUAGCCCCAUUUUCCAGAUAUGAAAGCUGAAGUACAGAGAUAAAGGGCUUUGCUUGGGGCCCAUGGCCAGCUUGUGAAGGAACAAGACUUGGCCUGGGGAUGGGUGGGUCUCUUGGGUGUGUCUGCCCUCCUGGGGCACCAAUGCAAUGAAGCCCUCCCAGGUUGGUGUUUCUCCAGGGUGGAGGAUCCCUCCUUACACUGAGGCCACAGGCCCCCAAGGCCUUUCAGGUGACACUUGCUGGAUCUUUUGCCUCUAAGGACCUGACCCAGACCCCUCUUGCCUCCUCAGGGAGUCCUCUUUUCCCUUGGGACUCUGUGAUAACCUCCACACACCUGUGUCCCCUCAGAAUUCUCCCUGGGUCAGGCUCCAGGACACUUGCUGUCCACUCUUCUGUCCCUUGACAGAUGACAGUCCCAUCUGGGACACGGUGACUCAGAGAAGACCCAAAGCAAGAAGAACUGCAAGGCAAGUGACUGACAGGUCUCCUCCCCUCCCUGGGCCUCAUUUCCCAAUUGGUGAGGGGCUGGAUGAGGUCAUUUCAGGGACGCUCUCGCUUCUACAAGAUGCUAAGAAUGCCCUGACCAGUGCUUUCAUACUCUCCUUUCGGCCGGGCAGAGGGAGGACAGCACACUGUCCUCCCGUUCCCAGGGGCACAGCAGCCUCUAGCCUGCCCUCUGGGGGAAGCUGUGCACUGUUCAGUCAGAUCUGGAACCACAGCAGACCCGGGUUUGGGGAGGGGGGAGGGUCUGGUAACACUGUCCUGGGGGCUUUCACGGAGUUACAUGGAAAAUUCCCAUUGAAAUCCAAGGGCCGAUGUUUGAAUUCCUAAAUGAGGGUUCCUGGCCCUUUACAUGCUUCUUCAGCCACUGACCAGCAGAAAUAUCCAGACAGGUGCAGCCCACACCUGGGCCAAGUGUCUCAGGAUAUCUCAACAGGCCUCAUUCGGCCAGGCCGGGGUCAGGGAGGGAGGGCAUAGGUGUAGGAGGCAGAAGGCCCAGGUUGGGGUGGGGGGCUUGCAUAGGCCACUUGGCUUCUCCGUGUUUCGGUGUCCUCAUCUGUAGGAUGGUGAUGGUGGCACCACCCAGCAGGGCUGCAGAGCCACUGUGUACCCAGAAGCACAGCACUGCACCCACAGCACAGUCCCAUCCUGCUCCUGCUACUCCUUCAUCAGGGGCCUCCGGUCCGCUUCAUCACCUCCACUUCCCUGGUCCUCAGUCUCCCCAUCUGUAAAUGGGAUCCGGCUCAGACAUCAGCAGGGCUACCAAGAGGCCUGUCUGAGCGUGGAGCGCCCGGCACAACCGUCCCCUGGAGGGGCUGCCUGCCAAGUACCAGCUGCCAAAGGAGCUCUGGGUCACCCUGCCUGCUUCCUGGGUCAGCCUCCCAUGGUGGGGGACACACCCCGAAGGGAGAAUUCAGAGAUUCUGUGGAUGGCAGACAAGUUGAGCAAAAGGUGUCCUCCCAGCCCAGACCCGGAGGGACCAGCCCAAGCCAGGCCUUCAAAGAGAGGCAGCUGUCCCGGGUUUGAGGUGAUGCCAAGAAGUGUAACCCAAGGCAGGCAGCUCCUGACAACUUCAGCUCACACGUGCCCUGGCUCCCUGCAGGCAGCACCCUCCUGGGGCAGGUGCCGGUUCUUCCUGCAUCUUCCACAGGAGGCUGGAGCCCAGGAAAAGCUCAGAGGGACUGAAUUAUCCAUACCCUCAGAACCGAUCAGAAGCUGCUCUGAGGUGGCAGUCACAUUCGGGCGACAGGUGGCUGCAGGGGCACCCCUUUCCUCGUGGGCUCCCUGAGUCACAGCUAGAAAUAGGUUCCACUAAGGCACGGUCCAGCUUUCUUCUCUUCCAGGCCCUGCUAGUGCAAGGUCAACCACGGAGAGGCUGUGGGGAGUUCUGAAGACCCCAGUCCCACCUCUCCUCCCCAGGCCCCUGCAGAGGACAGGCCUCGGUUAAAGACCACACCUGGAAGCCUCCCACUGGUGUGGCUGCACAGCAAGAGGGAACUGGGGGCUUAUCCGCAUCCUGCCGGGCGCGCCACUCCGUGACACUUCGUGCUAGCUGACGGCCGUGACAGAACGAAUGGAUGGGUGACACCAUCAGUGAAUGAAUGAGGUUUAAGAAGUUUGCUAUCAGGAACCCCGAUCACUGCCUGGAUAGUCACGGAGCCAGCACAAAGCAGAAGAAAACAUGGCUCCCGCUCUCAAAAAGUGAGUUCUCUGUCACCAGACGUCUGGCAGAGUGAAGGCAGGGCUGCAGGACUCACGUUCUCUAAAGCAGUGGCUCCCAGAGUGCUCUGUGGGACGCCAAGAGACACCACAGAGGAAAAAGUCCCAGGGACCAACAAGAAUGUGAAAUGCUACAUGGUGUUUCCCACUCAUGCCCACAGAGUCCUGCUUAACACCGGUACUGCCCAGCUGUCUGGCCACAGAACUCCUCUGAAGGGAGCACGGAGUUCUGAAGAACAUGGGUUGGGAAGUGCUGGUGUCAUGGAUUUAGAAUAGGCUGUGCCAGGAAAGUCACACUGCAAUGGCCUCCCUGGGUCACGCGGGGUACCGGAGAUGGCAGAGCCUCCCUGGGCAGGACACACUCAGCAGGGCCCUGCCACCCUUCCUGGGGCUGACUCUAGUGCUCUGCUUCCUUGUGCCUCAGUUUCUCCUCUGAAGAUGUAACGACCCCAGCUUCUCCCAGCCUGUCAGGGUUGUCAGGGGUGAGGACACAGGAUGACAGUGAACAGAUGCCAGGGGCCAUGGGGAGAUGUACAGACAAGAGGCCUUCGCUGUGACUCAGGUUUGGUGGGCAUUCACGGGGCUAACAGCCCGAGACUGCUAACGAGGGUGCAGAUGACAGCCUUCCGGAACCACAUGCCCCGGCUCCAUGUAACCGUUCUUGGAAAGAGACGGCUCGGCUUCCUAUAAAUUGCCGAGCACAGCCGCGUUCUGGGGGGCACAGGUGACCCAACAGAGACGCACAAUACCAGGCAUGCUCGGAAGCCCAGGGAGAGCUGCUGGCCCAGGGUGGGAGGCAGAUCUCUCAGCCUCUCCUCCAAGUACUUAGAGAGUCCUUGGAAGGAACAGGGAGGACAGGGCAUGGGCGGUAUGCUGGAUUCCGAUCCUGGCUCUGUCCCUGGGGAGCUGUGGCCUUGGGCCAGUCACCUUUCCCACACUCUAUUCUCUAAAAUGGAGAUAAGAGCACCUAUGUCGGGGGCUGGAGGACUGACUGAGGCAGCGUGCAAAGUCCAGCACACUGAUGCCUGGCACACACUCUGGAAGGAGGAGCCCCCCAUGGAACAGACUAAGCCUCGCUUUCUUUGGAGACCUGCUGAUGGGACCCUGCCGGGUCCGGCCACUGUCCAGCACAUCUGUGCUCCCUCCCUCUGGGAGAGCUGCGAGCUACCAAGAGUCCGUUUGACUUGUUCCCAAACCUAUUUAUGCCAGCUACACUUGCUCUUGCGACUACCUAAUUUGAUUAUUCUUCACAUAAACUUUUUAAGUAUGAGUGUGAAAAGGAAAAGAAAAAGACUUGCAUUCAUGAAGUCCUUUCUGGAACUUGCUGAGCUGCCCUGGGCUGCUGACCACCCCCACCCCCUGCCCCAACCCCUGCCACUGCCCCCUGGCCGGCGCCCAUUCAUAGGCUCCUGCCUCUGAUGAGCCAAGACUGCCUUCCUUGGAGGCCGAAGCUGGUGAGAUGCUCCCACACUGAGAUGGGUCCCUGGCUCUGUCCAGGUACUCUCAGAGCAGGCAGAGCACCGCUGGGGGCAGGUGGUACCUGAACAGCUCCGGGUGGGGCGUGGGCCCUCCACUCAUAUGGGUGGCAGGCAGCAGCAAGGGGUCACCCAGGGGGACAGCGCCGCCGAGAUCAGGAUCUUCAAACAACUUCAGGGCUGUGGGGAAGGCAGGAGCAGAGUGGUCAGAGGAAGUCCUGGCCCAUCCUCAGCUGCCAGAGGGGGACAGGGUGGAGAUGGCUUGGCCCAGCCAGAAGACAGUGAGCAAGGGACAAGGCAGAGCACAGAAGAACCAGAGGAAUGGGCCCAGGUGGGGGCAGGAAGGGAGCAAGGGACAGGUGCUCAGAGGCUGCCCUACAAUUGUCAGGGGAUGUCCGGUCUCCUGUGGGAGUCCUGAGGCCAGGACUGUGUCUUUCUCAUCCAUGUGUUCUCAGGCUCAGCAGAGCCUGGCCCCAGUGGGUGGUCACCAAGUGCUGGCUGCAUCAAUGGGGAGCAUCUACUCUCCACCCUGAAUGAGAAGCUGGGUGUGAUGAGGAAAGAUCAGACCUAUGGACAAAUACAGAAGUUCCCAGGCCACUCGGCUUUCCCCUUUCCAGUUCUGCACAGGACCCUCCCGUGGGGUGUAUGCAGGCAACACAAAAUCUCUCAUCAUAAUCCAAAUUGUACAGAGUCACAGCACAGCUAGGGUGGCUGUGUCUACUUUCCAGCCAGUGGCCACACCUGGGCCCAGAAUGACAAAGAUGCUUUUGCACCAAUCACAACCCAUACUUCUCAAGUGAUAAAGAUGACCACCCUCCUCUUCCACAGGAUGAGGACAAUAAACAUACAGCCCUGGAAUGUUCUGGGCUAUGGGGACACAAAGUGCAAGGCUAGAUUUCUCCAGCAGAAAAUCUCCAUAAGCUGAGUCUGUACCAUGUUGAAACAGGACAACGAGGAGAUUUCCAUCAUGCUCCCGUGUGGUAGGUCCAAAGCCAUUGACAGAGGCUGGCUGGGUCACCAAGAGGAAUGGGAACACCCAGAGGCUCUACUUACGGUCCUUGAGGGGCAUGUCCUCUGCGGGGCCCUUGGGGGAGGAGAGCUUCGGAGCUGGGCCAAAGAGCCCCUCCUCAGGGUCCACCUCCUCAUCAAAGAUGGUGAGUCGGGGUGAGGGUUUGGGCUUCAUGGCUACUUCUGGGCGUUUCUUGGGCUUCUUGGAGCUAGGGAAUCAGACACAGCUCUAGGUUAGGACUUCUCAUGAGAGCCCCAAUGGUCAGCAGGUGGCCUGGUCAGAGACUGGGUGAGUUUGAGCUCGUGUCAAGAAGGAACUUUCCAGUGCCCUGACAGUGGAGACAUGAGACCCUGCUACUGGAAGUGGCUGAGCCCUGUGCCCCAGGAACCACUGAUGUCAGGAUGUGUGGGAGGAGCAGGUGAGUGAGUGAGCCAGCAGACUGCCAGACAACUCCCAGCCCUGAAGGGCUACCCAGGACUCAGGCCUGUAUGCAUGGUCACAGGUCAGAGAGGCUGCUCUCCUUCUGGAGGCUGUGGGGGUCAAUGCCCAUAAUGCUCCCAGGGGCCAGGCUCGGAGUCACUGCACAACCCCUUGGAAAGGGGGCUGGACACAGACCUCAGGGCCUGGACCCGGGGAACAGCAGAAAGCAGCCUUGGUAAAUGCUCCCUCGUUUCCUCCACACACACACAAUCUGCUGGGUGUUGGAGGGCAGGGUGCUCAGAGGCGACCAUCCACACGCUCUGGAUGUGGACUUCUGGUAGAAUCUCAGGCUCCAGCUGAGAUGGGAGAAGCUAUGAAAGCUGCAAACGCACCUGCUGGAGGCUCCCACACCCAGGACGGAGCACACCUACAUGCUCAGUGCCGAGGCCCCCUCAUGGUCUUGUGCUCUCGGCCCCUCAAGGUGUCCCAGGAGCAGGAAGGAGAUUCAGGAUAGGGUGAGGAUAAGGGGCUCGGUCCUACUGCUCUUUGGGAGAAAGUGGCACAGGUCAAGGACAAGAUGGAGAGCAGAGACUCAGCAGCAGGGCUGUGCCCCACGUGCCCCAGUCCCUGCUCUCUCUCCAUCCAGGGCACAUCCAGACAGGCUCAUGUCACAGGCCACCUGGGACUCGUCUCUGCUCUGGCACCACCCCAGGCUCUGCUUGUGGUGCUGGGCAAGGUGAAAGGGGCCUGGCCUCUUCCCUCCUCACAGCAAAUACUUCCCAGAAAACUUCAGGCAUGCCAUGGCACACACCUUGAAGGGCCAGUUCAGCUUUAAUGACCCCUGGGAAGUGGGUACCAAAGACAGGCCAUGCCCCUCGUGGCAGGCCAGCCAGAGACAGCUCUAGCUGAGACCUGCUGAGUCAGAACCCUGGGGCCAGCCCAGGAAGCUGUGUUGGAGGUUCUGUGGAGCCUAGGGCCUGUGGGCUCUGCCCCACUGCUUCCCUCAAUCACCUGACAGCCACCCCUGAGCUGGCCCUGCUCCUGGAUCCUGUGCCCCAUCCGCACCUGACCAGGAAGGGCAGGGCUGAGGCCUUGCCCCCUGCGGCACUGCCCGCAGGUCCGCCCUGCUCAGAAACUAGCAGGCCCUGAAACAGCUCCUUAGGAAAGCAAGCCCAAAUCCUCCUCCAGCACACAGGCCCCCAACGGCACAGGGGAAAGAAGCCUCCCGUGGACCAGAAACCAGAGGGAACAUGGAAAGAAGGGGACUGUCUGAAGAACAAAGCAAGUGCGAGAGAACAAUCGUGACUGAUUACGUCUGGAGAAGGCCUGCAGAUUUCAACAAUUUCCCUCCUUACACCUACUUCUGGUUCUGAGAGCACAAACUAGGCCUGACUUUCCUGCUAUGUUCGUUUUCCUCUCAGAUUGGAUGAAUGUUCUUGUCUUUUCUUCCUGAAGACAUUUCCGAUCUUUCGCUGCCUUGAACUGAAAUUAACUGAAUCUGUGGCACAUACGACUGUUCAGCUGGGGACCAUCUGUAUUCCACCCCGUUAUUCCACACGGGCCAUCGGUCUGUCUCCCCAACUCUCCCCAACAGUGUCCAGGGGAGACAGUGAAUAAGGAGGAAAUAUGGAGCUUUGACAGCUGAAAGCCCCAGGGGCCUGCCCUCACUGGCUCCCAAACUUUAGUCUCUGGGACCUACAAUGUGCCCGGUCCAGAGCAGACACUCAAUAAUAUUGGCUGAGAGAAUGGAAGGAUGGAUGGAGGGAUGGAAGCAAGGAAGGAAGGAAGGAAGGAAGGAAGGAAGGAAGGAAGGGGAAAGAGGACAAAUGAAUAGAUGGAUGGACACACUGGUGACAGUAUAGCUCUUAUUCAGACUUAUUUCUGCCUACUCCCCCAGGAGGAGUGGAAAGAGUGAAGAGAGGUGGUUCCCAGCACCAGUCUGAGACAGAGAUAUAAGCUUCACUCUUCCAGAGCUGGCAGGCAGGUCAGCUGGUCUCCUCAUCUGCCCUCAGCCACCCUGUAAGCAGCUCAGGCAUUCACUCCGAGUGCCCUCUGUGACCCAGCACUGGCUAGACACCUCCCUUGUGCAAGAUCCUGGGCAGGGCAGUUAGACCUGCCACGGUCCCCAGAAGCUCACAGCUAAAAAUUGGAGAUAUAUAAACCAAUCAUGACCACACAGAGCAACAGUUCCAGAACACGCAGAGCACAGAGGAAGGAGCCCACCCAGCUCAGGGGGUUCCCAGAGGAGGCGAGGCGAGGCGAUGUAGAUGUGGACCCAGGCAGAGGGAAUGAGGCCUCCAGCUGUGGGGGGUCUGCCAGGGGCAUGACUCAGGCAUGACUAUGAACCAGGUCCCCACGGCAGCUUGGCUCGUGAUCCACGAAAACGAUCAGUCUUGGCCUGGGGGAGUGCCGCAGUGUGACGAGGAGACAGGGUCAGGGAGAACAUCAGAAGGCAAAAGCGCUCCUAGAAAAUGUGGACCGUGAGGUGAUCAGUGGGCAGAAGGGGCGUAUCCAGAAUGAUACCAGAUUUCUGACUUCUGGGACAGGGUCAGGAAUGUCAUGUGUGAGGUGAGUCUCCAAGCCGGGUUUCUUCCUUCGCUCACAGAUCGCGUGGGCGCGGACUCAAGCUGUACACACGGGCCAUGGCCCCCGCCCCCCACCAUCCCUGCUCUGCCCCUGCUCCUCCUGCGUCCACCCGGUUGUCUGCGGGAUGUACCUCCCCACUGUGCUGUGCCCACCAGCCCUGCCUCUGCACCCACACGGUAAAGGAUGCCCCGCCUGUCCUUUCACCAGUUUAGUCUCCUGUCACCAGGGAUGGGGCAAUGGGGCAACUGGGCCCUGAGCAGAGAGGUGUGCCAUACACAGACCUGCUCCUGCCUUCCUGGCGGGCACAAAGGAGGUCACCUGAACUUGUGCAGGCUCUGGCGCAGCACGAGUGGCGGGAGGUGGGGGGCAGGCUCCCUGGAUGGGUGCAGGCAUGGGGAAGCACAUUCCUGUAGCAUGCAGGCAUGUGCGUGGACAGACAUCAGCUCUCCUGCACUGCGUGCCUGAUGGAAGACAGAUGUCCAGACCAGGCCGCACUCUGCGGGCGGACGUGGUGCAAACGUGAGACGGAGGUGGCAGACGCUGAGGCUGACGGCCCUGCUCACGUGGCUCAGGCAGUUCUGGUGACAGUGACAGACGCAUGACAGUAGCCUCCCCUCUGGCCACUAAGGGGGCCUGUGUCCAUGUUCCCGGAUGCACCUGCCCCCCCGGCAGACCACCAAUGGGCACCAGCUGCCCAGGAUCUGCAUCACUUGAGUUACAGGAGCAUCUCCUGGACUAAACAGAAGGCCCUUCUGAAGCCUAGACUCACAGACAACAUGACUUACCUUCAAAGCCAGGGUGACACUUAACCAAAUAAGGAAAUUAAUCUCCUCUCCAGUCAUACAAUUUUCCUGCUUUCAAAUAAAGCAUUUUUCAUUUUUUAAUUUUAAA
Molecule: long non-coding RNA, 9978 nt
Organism: Neofelis nebulosa (Clouded leopard)
Lineage: Eukaryota; Metazoa; Chordata; Mammalia; Carnivora; Felidae
Exons: 4
Source: RefSeq, a predicted model, not a curated record